This 283-nucleotide unclassified non-coding RNA is filed under the name uncultured fungus. RNAcentral describes it as "partial contains small subunit ribosomal RNA, internal transcribed spacer 1, and 5.8S ribosomal RNA". The stretch from base 1 to 73 matches the Rfam family "Eukaryotic small subunit ribosomal RNA", at positions 1759 to 1831 of the family's 1831-position model. The record is from RNAcentral. Lineage: Eukaryota; Fungi.
GCAAACUUGGUCAUUUAGAGGAAGUAAAAGUCGUAACAAGGUUUCCGUAGGUGAACCUGCGGAAGGAUCAUUACUAGACUUGCGAUGCGAGCAGCUCUGCUGUGAGCAUUGCACACAAAGCAGGCUAUGAUGGAAGCUGGCUUGCCAGUGGUAGUCAUAGCCUGUAAUUUUCAAUUCGUUUGAAUGCAUGGAGCUGUAGCUCUCUGAGCUAUCAGUACACUUACAAUACAAUAAAACUUUCAACAACGGAUCUCUUGGUUCUCGCAUCGAUGAAGAACGCAGC